This 289-nucleotide unclassified non-coding RNA is filed under the name Coniochaetaceae sp. RNAcentral describes it as "partial contains 5.8S ribosomal RNA, internal transcribed spacer 2, and large subunit ribosomal RNA". The stretch from base 1 to 71 matches the Rfam family "5.8S ribosomal RNA", at positions 84 to 154 of the family's 154-position model. The record is from RNAcentral. Lineage: Eukaryota; Fungi; Ascomycota; Sordariomycetes; Coniochaetales; Coniochaetaceae.
GUGAGUCAUCGAAUCUUUGAACGCACAUUGCGCCCGCUAGUAUUCUGGCGGGCAUGCCUGUUCGAGCGUCAUUUCAACCCUCAAGCCCUGCUUGGUGUUGGGGCCCUACAGCUGCUGUAGGCCCUGAAAUGGAGUGGCAGGCUCGCUACAACUCCGAGCGUAGUAGAAUCCUAUCUCGCUAGGGAAGUGCAGCGUGCUCCAGCCGUUAAAGAACCCAUCUUUAACCCAAGGUUGACCUCGGAUCAGGUAGGAAUACCCGCUGAACUUAAGCAUAUCAAUAAGCGGAGGA